This 73-nucleotide transfer RNA is filed under the name Nocardioides cavernaquae. It matches the Rfam family "tRNA". From Rfam's summary of the family: Transfer RNA (tRNA) molecules are approximately 80 nucleotides in length. Their secondary structure includes four short double-helical elements and three loops (D, anti-codon, and T loops). The record is from Rfam by way of RNAcentral. Lineage: Bacteria; Bacillati; Actinomycetota; Actinomycetes; Propionibacteriales; Nocardioidaceae.
GCGCCCGUAGUCCAACGGCAGAGACAACGGCUUUAGGUGCCGUCCAGUGUGAGUUCGAAUCUCACCGGGCGCA